UGGACUGAGGGCCUGCAUGCC
This 21-nucleotide unclassified non-coding RNA is filed under the name Chlamydomonas reinhardtii. RNAcentral's name for it is "small RNA Cre_3233". The record is from RNAcentral. Lineage: Eukaryota; Viridiplantae; Chlorophyta; Chlorophyceae; Chlamydomonadales; Chlamydomonadaceae.